This 212-nucleotide long non-coding RNA is filed under the name Mytilus galloprovincialis (Mediterranean mussel). Lineage: Eukaryota; Metazoa; Mollusca; Bivalvia; Mytilida; Mytilidae. The record is from RNAcentral.
UGGUCAUGAUGGUAACUUUCAUCAAAAAUAAAAAUAGAUCAAAUCUUUGUAAUUGUGAACAACAGCAAUCAAACUGACUGCAACAUAAACAGCACAAUAGACAACAUUUUAAGCAUAUGAAUAUUUUAUCGGUAUAAAUAGGUUUAGAUUGAACAUAUUUAGCAAGAUCUGGAAUAUAGUUGCCAUGUUGGAGGUAUAAGUACACAAAAUCC